This 422-nucleotide ribosomal RNA is filed under the name uncultured bacterium. Its description in RNAcentral is "bacterial SSU rRNA". It matches the Rfam family "Bacterial small subunit ribosomal RNA", at positions 355 to 774 of the family's 1533-position model. The record is from RNAcentral.
UGAGGAAUAUUGGGCAAUGCCCGCAAGGGUGACCCAGCAACGCCGCGUGGAGGAUGAAUGUCGUAAGAUUGUAAACUCCUGUUAGAGGGGAAGAAUAGUACCGGUUGGACCGGUAUAUGACUGUACCCUCAGAGAAAGCCCCGGCUAACUACGUGCCAGCAGCCGCGGUAAUACGUAGGGGGCAAGCGUUGUCCGGAUUUACUGGGAGUAAAGGGCGCGCAGGCGGGAUAAAAAGUCAGUGGUGAAAUCCUACAGCUUAACUGUAGAACUGCCUUUGAUACUUUUAUUCUUGAGUUCGGGAGAGAGAGACGGAAUUCCAGGUGUAGUGGUGAAAUACGUAGAUAUCUGGAAGAACACCAGUUGCGAAGGCGGUCUCUUGAUCCGACACUGACGCUGAGGCGCGAAAGCGUGGGGAGCAAACA